Stegodyphus mimosarum is the source of this 72-nucleotide non-coding RNA. Lineage: Eukaryota; Metazoa; Arthropoda; Arachnida; Araneae; Eresidae. The record is from Rfam.
GCCAUCGUGGUGUAGUGGUCAGCACGCUCACGCGUAACCGAGAGGUCCGUGGUUCGAUUCCCGGCGAAGGCU